This 343-nucleotide ribosomal RNA is filed under the name uncultured bacterium. Its description in RNAcentral is "bacterial SSU rRNA". It matches the Rfam family "Bacterial small subunit ribosomal RNA", at positions 94 to 435 of the family's 1533-position model. The record is from RNAcentral.
CACGGCGCACGGGUGCGUAACACGUGGGUAAUCUGCCCUUCGAAGGGGAAUAACUCGCCGAAAGGCGAGCUAAUUCCGCAUAACAUUCCGAGAACCUUGGUUUUUGGAUUCAAAGGCGUAAGUCGUCGGAGGAGGAGCCCGCGCACGAUUAGCUAGUUGGUAGGGUAACGGCCUACCAAGGCUAUGAUCGUUAGCUGGUCUGAGAGGAUGGCCAGCCACACUGGAACUGAGACACGGUCCACACUCCUACGGGAGGCAGCAGUGGGGAAUCUUGCGCAAUGGGCGAAAGCCUGAUGCAGCGACGCCGCGUGGGGGAUGAAGCUUCUCGGAGUGUAAACCCCUU